AAGCAAUGAGGUUUCAACAAGUGGCUGAUUGGGCAAGGGCACAUGGCCAGCACAUUUAAAAUAAAACGAAUUCAUAUAAAAUCUACAUUUUUUAAUAUUCAACAAACUGCGUUCUGUAACUUAGGAUUCUUUCCCUUUUAAAAGGGAAAACCGAAAGUAGGUAAGUGUUGGGGAAGAUAACAAAGAGUGUUGCAGAAUUGGUGGGUUUAAAGCUGCUUACAGUGAAAGCAACUUCACUUAUGCCACGGGGGCAACGGGCAGAUGAGCACCCUCGGGCUGGAAUCCGUUCUUAUCGGCGAUGUAGUUGACUUGGUAGGUCUGGCCAUCAUCAGCAAUGAAGCGGUAGGAUCCACUCACAGAGAUAGCCUCGUUCUCAGUUCCAAUGUCGUUCAGCUGACCUACAGCUUGAGCAGCCUGUCCAUCGGAGGUUUCCCAGCUAAGAAGGAAGUCAGUGUCAGCUAGGUAUCCUUUUGGGUCAUUUCUCAUAGGCAACUUACUCGUAUUUGAAGCUUUCGGGUCCAACGUCGGAUUCAGAGCGCACGAUUGUGGGUUCCUCAGCGGCAGGAGCAGCCAGAGCCACGGCGAAGAGGGCGACGAAGACAAUCAGGAAUUUCAUGGUGAUUGUUGUUUGGUGCUUAGAUCUGCGGCUAUCGAACAGUUCAAGUCGAAUGGUAACUAUGGACGGCCGCGUAAACCCUUUUAUAGAUGGCACCCUCUUGGCGAUUAUUCAAAGCGCGGCCGAACUAGUCAAACGUGUACAAGACAUAAUGAGCAAAAUCAAUGUUAAUGUGAAAUGUCUGGUUUGGAUUUCAUUUUCGUUUGAAGUAGGAGCAUUAAAAGGCCUAAUAUAAAAUUUUAAUAACACUAUAGUCCAAAAAGAAUCGCGUUCAUAAAUAUUUCAUUAUUCAAAUUUUUAACAAUUCAUUGAGCUUUAUUAUAUUUAUAAUAAUCCAGCCAGUCUUAGUGACGUCAAUAAAACUCGGGAGCUUCCUCAAAUAUAUACAUUUUUUCUAUUUACUUUUCUAAUUCUACGAAUCUUUUACAUUGGAUAAAUAAAGUCAACUUAUUUAUUCGCAUCCGGAAUCAUUAUACAUCCAGGUAUCUCCUAGGCUACUAGCCUGAACUUGGGAUGGUAGCCAGUUUCGUCGGCCGUGAAACUAAUCUCGUAUUUUUUGCCAUCUGGAGCUGACCAGCUGGUCGAUCCCUGGACAGACAAGGAACCAUCCUCUUCGCCGGCUCCAGGUUUCACCUCACCGGUCUCAGUGCGUGAGAUUCCGUUGCUCGUCUCAUAGCUGGAAUUCGAUGUUAAUUGUUUUUAAUAAAUUAAUUAUUGAUUGAAAUUGUAUAUAGGAACAUCGAAUAAUUAAACACCUGUUACAACUAAGCAUUUCAAAGCUACCCUCUUUAAUUUUGCCCUUGCAGAGGCUUAUACCUCUGAUAUCAGUCAGAAGUUUGCAACGCAGUGAGGGAGACAUGUGCAACUAAAUAAAGUUUAUAUAUGUGUACAUAUUUAUAUACAUCAGUUUCAAUAGUCAAGCCGUUUCUACGCAAAAUAGUAAUAGUAUCUCAGUUUAAGGUUAAAAAAUUUUACAAUUAAAUGCAUUAUGUCCAAAUCAUUUCUGGGCAAUACCUACGCAAAGGAAUAUUUAUCGCCCGUGUUUUCGCUCUCCAGUUUGAUGGUCUCCGCCUGGGCAUCCUCACCAGCGGGAAAGGCCAAACAGAUACCAAUUGCCAGGAAGGCUACCAGCCACAUGAAAUUCG
RNAcentral lists this long non-coding RNA (1761 nucleotides) under Drosophila melanogaster (fruit fly). Its description in RNAcentral is "antisense RNA:CR46005 (Dmel_CR46005)". The record is from RNAcentral. Lineage: Eukaryota; Metazoa; Arthropoda; Insecta; Diptera; Drosophilidae.